UUUUUGGUACAAUAUUUUCCUUCAUUUUAUGUGUACCUAUAUUAGGAAGGUAGUUCAUUACAUAUAUUACUUUUUUUAGUGGUACACAACUUUGUAACCUUAUAAAUUGGGGCUCAUGUGAGAAAAUACUGAAUUUCAAUGUAUUUCAGAGCCCUCAUGGCUUAUUGAAGAUGUGUACAAGAGCCCCAAUUUAUAAAGUUACAAAGCUGUGUACUAUUAAAAAAAAUAACAAAUGAAUGAAUCACUUUCCUAAUAUGGAUACACAUAAAAGGAAAUAAGAUAUUGUACACAAAAA
Molecule: microRNA precursor, 295 nt
Filed under: Amborella trichopoda
Lineage: Eukaryota; Viridiplantae; Streptophyta; Magnoliopsida; Amborellales; Amborellaceae
Description: miR8597 stem-loop (atr-MIR8597)
Source: miRBase by way of RNAcentral